Long non-coding RNA from Dermacentor andersoni, 1105 nucleotides. RefSeq lists it as uncharacterized. The record is from RefSeq and is a predicted model, not a curated record. NCBI's taxonomy places the organism in Eukaryota, Metazoa, Arthropoda, Arachnida, Ixodida, Ixodidae.
CAGUGGGACAUACCCAUCCUGGAGGACUGGGACUGGCCGAGAGCGGGCACACAGCCAGUGGCCGACACACUGGCCCAUGCAGGAGCGGGCCAGUGCAUCCACAUCCACAUUGAAAUCACCGACAACGACAACAGGGGUAGUGUGAUCGCAGCUAAUUCACGCAAAACGGGGCAACUGUCUCGAGGCAAUGAAGAUCAGCAGUGACUGUUGGGAAGAGGCAGUAUUCUCGAGGACCCCAAAAUGACACUCAUUCUAAUUACGGCGACGUCAAAUGAUAUGACGUUGACUGGGCGCUCGAGAGUGAAGUCUUCGAAUCGUUGUGAUUUCUCUAGGGAUCACUUACAGGACUGACACCCGAAAUACUCAUGAAUAGGAUUAGAUAUACAAAGCACAAAACUAUUAGAGAGUACGUAAACGCAGUGCAGCUUACGGAAUGCUGGAGCACUGCGGUUCCCAAGAUGUGCGCAGCAGCGCUGCGAGCGCCAUGAGGCGACGCUGACGUUAAGUAAAUCACAAAGAAAUGUAAUUGCGACGACCAUGUUCUACUUAUCUGCUGGUUCAAAGGCAUUGGCAGAAACAAUUAUUAGCGUAUAACGGUUUCUUCUUUUUUUAUUCAGCGCGCAAAAUACGUAACAGAGAACGUUCCUGGUUCUCUCUUGUCUCAGAGAGUGAAAUUAAGCAUGGAAAGCAGCACACAGAAAUGUCACGCAAAUUCUACUCCGGCUUGUAGUUCUGAAAUUACGAUUUUGCCACGCUGUCAGCGCUAUCGUGUGUGCUUCCUUUUUGCUAUAAGCGUUUUGCUUCUAGUCAAUACCAAAACGCAAUCUAAAUGUCAGAUCGUUCUUACGCCACAAUUGUUGUAGCCGCGACAAGAGAGACUGACCCGUGGACUUUUGCCAUAUUCAAGGAACAUUCACAUGAUGGAAAUUCUCCAGCGAUUUAGUGCACGUUGGGAUACACUUCUGCCAAUAGCCAGCGAAAUAACGGGCGUUGGACACGGUGUUCUCGACGACAACAUUAAUAUGCAUUUAUAACCUGUGCCACGUGGAAGGCAAUUACAAAACGACGCAAGCUUUGGGGAUGGACAACUGGAACGCUAGUCAUU